UAUCCGCCAGGGUACUACGAGCAUAGCUUAAAACCCAAAGGACUUGGCGGUGUCUCAGACCCACCUAGAGGAGCCUGUUCUAGAACCGAUAACCCCCGUUAAACCUCACCACUUCUUGUUAAUUCCGCCUAUAUACCGCCGUCGCCAGCUUACCCCAUGAGGGUAAAAUAGUAAGCAAAAUGGAUAGACCCCCAAACGUCAGGUCGAGGUGUAGCGUACGAAGUGGGAGGAAAUGGGCUACAUUUUCUAUUACAGGAAAUCACGAAUGGUCUAUUGAAACACAUACCUGAAGGAGGAUUGAGUAGUAAAAGCAAACAGAG
This 320-nucleotide ribosomal RNA is filed under the name Scleromystax barbatus (banded corydoras). Its description in RNAcentral is "partial 12S ribosomal RNA". It matches the Rfam family "Bacterial small subunit ribosomal RNA", at positions 866 to 1354 of the family's 1533-position model. Lineage: Eukaryota; Metazoa; Chordata; Actinopteri; Siluriformes; Callichthyidae. The record is from RNAcentral.